RNAcentral lists this ribosomal RNA (861 nucleotides) under Lacticaseibacillus casei. RNAcentral describes it as "bacterial SSU rRNA". It matches the Rfam family "Bacterial small subunit ribosomal RNA", at positions 533 to 1396 of the family's 1533-position model. Lineage: Bacteria; Bacillati; Bacillota; Bacilli; Lactobacillales; Lactobacillaceae. The record is from RNAcentral.
CGGGGGCGCUAUCGGAUUUAUUGGGCGUAAGCGAGCGCAGGCGGUUUUUUAAGUCUGAUGUGAAAGCCCUCGGCUUAACCGAGGAAGCGCAUCGGAAACUGGGAAACUUGAGUGCAGAAGAGGACAGUGGAACUCCAUGUGUAGCGGUGAAAUGCGUAGAUAUAUGGAAGAACACCAGUGGCGAAGGCGGCUGUCUGGUCUGUAACUGACGCUGAGGCUCGAAAGCAUGGGUAGCGAACAGGAUUAGAUACCCUGGUAGUCCAUGCCGUAAACGAUGAAUGCUAGGUGUUGGAGGGUUUCCGCCCUUCAGUGCCGCAGCUAACGCAUUAAGCAUUCCGCCUGGGGAGUACGACCGCAAGGUUGAAACUCAAAGGAAUUGACGGGGGCCCGCACAAGCGGUGGARCAUGUGGUUUAAUUCKAAGCAACGCGAARAACCUUACCAGGUCUUGACAUCUUUUGAUCACCUGAGAGAUCAGGUUUCCCCUUCGGGGGCAAAAUGACAGGUGGUGCAUGGUUGUCGUCAGCUCGUGUCGUGAGAUGUUGGGUUAAGUCCCGCAACGAGCGCAACCCUUAUGACUAGUUGCCAGCAUUUAGUUGGGCACUCUAGUAAGACUGCCGGUGACAAACCGGAGGAAGGUGGGGAUGACGUCAAAUCAUCAUGCCCCUUAUGACCUGGGCUACACACGUGCUACAAUGGAUGGUACAACGAGUUGCGAGACCGCGAGGUCAAGCUAAUCUCUUAAAGCCAUUCUCAGUUCGGACUGUAGGCUGCAACUCGCCUACACGAARUCGGAAUCGCUAGUAAUCGCGGAUCAGCACGCCGCGGUGAAUACGUUCCCGGGCCUUGUACMCCCCSSCMC